Molecule: ribosomal RNA, 781 nt
Filed under: soil bacterium enrichment culture clone AMBMPRP8
Lineage: Bacteria
Description: bacterial SSU rRNA
Rfam family: Bacterial small subunit ribosomal RNA
Source: RNAcentral
AGAGUUUGAUCCUGGCUCAGAUUGAACGCUAGCGGGAUGCCUUACACAUGCAAGUCGAACGGCAGCACGGACUUCGGUCUGGUGGCGAGUGGCGAACGGGUGAGUAAUGUAUCGGAACGUGCCCAGUAGCGGGGGAUAACUACGCGAAAGCGUAGCUAAUACCGCAUACGCCCUACGGGGGAAAGCAGGGGAUCUUCGGACCUUGCACUAUUGGAGCGGCCGAUAUCGGAUUAGCUAGUUGGUGGGGUAACGGCCUACCAAGGCGACGAUCCGUAGCUGGUUUGAGAGGACGACCAGCCACACUGGGACUGAGACACGGCCCAGACUCCUACGGGAGGCAGCAGUGGGGAAUUUUGGACAAUGGGGGAAACCCUGAUCCAGCCAUCCCGCGUGUGCGAUGAAGGCCUUCGGGUUGUAAAGCACUUUUGGCAGGAAAGAAACGUCGCGGGCUAAUACCCCGCGGAACUGACGGUACCUGCAGAAUAAGCACCGGCUAACUACGUGCCAGCAGCCGCGGUAAUACGUAGGGUGCAAGCGUUAAUCGGAAUUACUGGGCGUAAAGCGUGCGCAGGCGGUUCGGAAAGAAAGAUGUGAAAUCCCAGAGCUUAACUUUGGAACUGCAUUUUUAACUACCGGGCUAGAGUGUGUCAGAGGGAGGUGGAAUUCCGCGUGUAGCAGUGAAAUGCGUAGAUAUGCGGAGGAACACCGAUGGCGAAGGCAGCCUCCUGGGAUAACACUGACGCUCAUGCACGAAAGCGUGGGGAGCAAACAGGAUUAGAUA